This 238-nucleotide ribosomal RNA is filed under the name uncultured bacterium. Its description in RNAcentral is "partial 16S ribosomal RNA". It matches the Rfam family "Bacterial small subunit ribosomal RNA", at positions 1263 to 1500 of the family's 1533-position model. The record is from RNAcentral.
UAGAGCAAAUCNCAAAACUACGGUCUCAGUUCAGAUUGCAGGCUGCAACUCGCCUGCAUGAAGUUGGAAUUGCUAGUAAUCGCGAAUCAGAAUGUCGCGGUGAAUACGUUCCCGGGCCUUGUACACACCGCCCGUCACACCAUGAGAGUCGAUAACACCCGAAGCCUGUGAGCUAACCGUAAGGAGGCAGCAGUCGAAGGUGGGGUUGAUGAUUGGGGUGAAGUCGUAACAAGGUAAC